Molecule: ribosomal RNA, 775 nt
Filed under: uncultured Neocallimastigales
Lineage: Eukaryota; Fungi; Neocallimastigomycota; Neocallimastigomycetes; Neocallimastigales
Description: partial large subunit ribosomal RNA
Rfam family: Eukaryotic large subunit ribosomal RNA
Source: RNAcentral
UAUCUCUGUAGAGUCUGCAUAUCAAUAAGCGGAGGAAAAGAAACUAACAAGGAUUCCCUUAGUAACGGCGAGUGAAGCGGGAAGAGCUCAGAUUUGAAAUCUUCAAGGUUCUACCUUGACGAAUUGUAGUUUAAAGAAGUGUUUUCUGUUAGAUGAGUAGCAAAAGUUCCUUGGAAUGGGACAUCAUAGAGGGUGAGAAUCCCGUAUUUGGUUAUUCAUUCUAGCUUUGUGAUACACUUUCAAAGAGUCGGAUUGUUUGGGAAUGCAGUCCAAAAUGGGUGGUAAAUUUCAUCUAAAGCUAAAUAUUGGCGAGAGACCGAUAGCGAACAAGUACCGUGAGGGAAAGAUGAAAAGAACUUUGAAAAGAGAGUUAAACAGUACGUGAAAGUUGUCAAAAGGGAAGCGUUUGACACCAGUGUUGUUUUUCCGAAAAUCAAUUACGAAUGGCUUGAUUUUGUGUUGUAUUGACCUUAUCAGCUUUCUUCACUUUUUUCGAGUCUUUCUUAAUGCACUUUUCGGUUAACAAGUCAACAUCAAUUUCUUUUGUUGUAAAAGAGUAUUCGGAAGGUGGCUUUCUUUUCGGAGAAAGUGUUUAUAGCCCUAUACUUCUACAAUCGGAGAGAUUGAGGUCUGCAGCGUAGAUCCUUCGGGGUUAGAUACACUUGUGCUAAGUUGUAGCUUUUCAUAGACAACUUGUUGACUAUGUUUAGUCAUGCGGCUUACUCGCUUGUGCUAUUUUACCUACGCUUAGGAUGUUGACUGAUAUGUAGUCGUA